RNAcentral lists this ribosomal RNA (715 nucleotides) under Rhizoctonia solani. Its description in RNAcentral is "eukaryotic LSU rRNA". The stretch from base 250 to 402 matches the Rfam family "5.8S ribosomal RNA". Lineage: Eukaryota; Fungi; Basidiomycota; Agaricomycetes; Cantharellales; Ceratobasidiaceae. The record is from RNAcentral.
UUGUACGAAUAUAGAGCAGACAACUGGUAGAGUUCAUGAGUCUAGUACUCGGGUACGCCGUAUUAACUUGGGGGCAUGUGCACACCUUUCUCUUUCCUCUUCCAUACACACCUGUGCACCUGUGAGACAGAUGUUUUCUAGAGGGGAAGGAACUUUAUUGGACCUACUCUUCUUGGACUCUGUCUACUUAAUCUAUAUAAACUCAAUUUAUUUUAAAAUGAAUGUAAUGGAUGUAACACAUCUAAUACUAAGUUUCAACAACGGAUCUCUUGGCUCUCGCAUCGAUGAAGAACGCAGCGAAAUGCGAUAAGUAAUGUGAAUUGCAGAAUUCAGGAAUCAUCGAAUCUUUGAACGCACCUUGCGCUCCUUGGUAUUCCUUGGAGCAUGCCUGUUUGAGUAUCAUGAAAUCUUCAAAGUCAAACCUUUUGUUAACUCAAUUGGUUCUGCUUUGGUAUUGGAGGUCUAUUGCAGCUUCACACCUGCUCCUCUUUGUGCAUUAGCUGGAUCUCAGUGUUAUGCUUGGUUCCACUCAGCGUGAUAAGUUAUCUAUCGCUGAGGACACCCUGUUAAAAAGGGGUGGCCAAGGUAAAUGCGGAUGAACUGCUUCUAACAGUCCAUGGACUUGGACAAAUAUUAAUUUUAUGAUCUGAGCUCAAAUCAGGUAGGACUACCCGCGAACUAGAAAAUAUGAUUACCACAGGAAAGGAAACAUUAU